Molecule: long non-coding RNA, 589 nt
Organism: Mya arenaria
Lineage: Eukaryota; Metazoa; Mollusca; Bivalvia; Myida; Myidae
Exons: 3
Source: RefSeq, a predicted model, not a curated record
CAGUCACAUUAUUCAUUUAUGAUAACCAGUCUAAUAGAAGCUGAUGUAGGGAACCAGCUAGCAGGAAACAGACAGACUUUGACUGACCACGACUGAGACCUGACGGACUUAUUACUUCUUGACGAUCAUCUUAUAUCCAUCAUCAUCCGAUACAUAGAUUCGACGCUAGUGCUCAUCUUUAUCAGAAUUAGUGCGUAUUUCAUGCAUAUUACAUUCCGACGUUAACCGGAAGUGACGUUUCAUUGACCGGAAGUGGCGUGUUCAUCGCCAUAAGUUGGGGAAUAUUCAGCUCUCCUAUACCUGAGGGCGCCAGUUGCUGACUUUUGACGGUGAAGAUGACAGAUUCCGAGUCUUUGGAAGGGAGCCCAAAAAGGUCAUGGAAAGAAACAGAACGGAUAAUUCCAAUUAAUCCCGAUGAUAUUGUACGGGAAAUGGAAACCUUAUGUUCUCGCAAAGUACAGAUGCCAUCUGCCAAAUUAUUGAUCUUUCAAUUAGGUUUGGUCAAGGACCAAGAAAAGAUUAAUAGGAUUGUUACAGAACAAUGCCAAAUUGCACAGGGUCGUGGGAAUUUUAGGUUCAUCCGUGAGGC